AGCUCGAUAGCUUAGUUGGUAAAGCACUUGUCUAGCGUAUAAGGGUCGUGAGUUUAAAUCUUUCCUGAGCUG
Aedes albopictus (Asian tiger mosquito) is the source of this 72-nucleotide non-coding RNA. Lineage: Eukaryota; Metazoa; Arthropoda; Insecta; Diptera; Culicidae. The record is from Rfam.